This 491-nucleotide ribosomal RNA is filed under the name Pseudomonas plecoglossicida. Its description in RNAcentral is "bacterial SSU rRNA". It matches the Rfam family "Bacterial small subunit ribosomal RNA", at positions 35 to 524 of the family's 1533-position model. Lineage: Bacteria; Pseudomonadati; Pseudomonadota; Gammaproteobacteria; Pseudomonadales; Pseudomonadaceae. The record is from RNAcentral.
GUGGGCGUUCGUGCUACCAUGCAGUCGAGCGGAUGACGGGAGCUUGCUCCUUGAUUCAGCGGCGGACGGGUGAGUAAUGCCUAGGAAUCUGCCUGGUAGUGGGGGACAACGUUUCGAAAGGAACGCUAAUACCGCAUACGUCCUACGGGAGAAAGCAGGGGACCUUCGGGCCUUGCGCUAUCAGAUGAGCCUAGGUCGGAUUAGCUAGUUGGUGAGGUAAUGGCUCACCAAGGCGACGAUCCGUAACUGGUCUGAGAGGAUGAUCCGUCACACUGGGACUGAGACACGGCCCAGACUCCUACGGGAGGCAGCAGUGGGGAAUAUUGGACAAUGGGGGAAAGCCUGAUCCAGCCAUGCCGCGUGUGUGAAGAAGGCCUUCGGAUUGUAAAGCACUUUAAGUUGGGAGGAAGGGCCGUAAGUUAAUACCUUGCUGUAUUGGAGUUUCCGACAGAAAAAACACCGGCUAACUCUGUGCCAGCCGCCGCGGGAAU